Molecule: ribosomal RNA, 198 nt
Filed under: uncultured bacterium
Lineage: Bacteria
Description: partial 16S ribosomal RNA
Rfam family: Bacterial small subunit ribosomal RNA
Source: RNAcentral
ACGCUCGACACCUACGGGAGGCAGCAGUGGGGGAUAUUGCACAAUGGGGGGAACCCUGAUGCAGCGACGCCGCGUGAGGGAAGAAGGUUUUCGGAUUGUAAACCUCUGUCCUCAGGGAAGAAGAUGACGGUACCUGAGGAGGAAGCCACGGCUAACUACGUGCCAACAGCCGCGGUAAUCUGAGCGGGCUGGCAAGGC